GAAAUGCGAUAAGUAGUGUGAAUUGCAGAAUUCAGUGAAUCAUCGAAUCUUUGAACGCACAUUGCGCCCCUUGGUAUUCCAUGGGGCAUGCCUGUUCGAGCGUCAUUUGUACCCUCAAGCUCUGCUUGGUGUUGGGUGUUUGUCCCCGUCUCCGCGCGUGGACUCGCCCCAAAGUGAUUGGCAGCCGGCGUACUGGUCCCGGAGCGCAGCACAUGUCGCGCAAACGAGUGCCUUGGUACGGCGGCGUCCAUAAGCCCCUCUCUCACGCUCUUGACCUCGGAUCAGGUAGGGAUACCCGCUGAACUUGAGC
Molecule: unclassified non-coding RNA, 310 nt
Filed under: plant metagenome
Description: partial contains 5.8S ribosomal RNA, internal transcribed spacer 2, and large subunit ribosomal RNA
Rfam family: 5.8S ribosomal RNA (bases 1-105)
Source: RNAcentral